Molecule: ribosomal RNA, 541 nt
Filed under: Oscillatoria salina BDU 30411
Lineage: Bacteria; Bacillati; Cyanobacteriota; Cyanophyceae; Oscillatoriales; Oscillatoriaceae
Description: bacterial SSU rRNA
Rfam family: Bacterial small subunit ribosomal RNA
Source: RNAcentral
CUGGCGGUCUGCUAACCUUUUCUCGACGAACCACUUCGCUAAGUCUCCCGGACGGGUGCGUAACGCGUGGGAACCUACCCUUAUGAUGCCCUAUCUUUGCGGGAAACGACAGCUUAUACCGAAUGUUCUCGUCAGGCAUAAUGUUUCUCGCCUGUCGGAUGGCGCCCGCGUUGGAUUAUCUAGUUGGGGGGGUAACGGCCUACCAAGGCUACGAUCCGUAGCUGGUCUGAGAGGAUGAUCAGCCACGCUGGGUCUGAGACACGGCCCAGACUCCUCCGGGAGGCAGCCUUGGACAAUUUUCACACAAUGGGCGAAAGCCUGAUCGAGCUAUGCCGCGUGGGUGAUGAAGGCCCUUGGGUUGUAACGCUCUUUCAUCGAAGAUGAUGAACUGACGGUACCAACUAAGAUAUUCCCCAGGAAACUCCGCGCGAUCUCGCGCUGUAAUACAGGGGAUGCAAGCAUUGCUCAGAAUUAGUGGGCAUAAAGCGCCUGAAGCGUGCUGUUCGAGGCAGGGGUGAAAUCUCGGGUCUCAACCCCAGAA